Molecule: long non-coding RNA, 5214 nt
Filed under: Populus tremula
Lineage: Eukaryota; Viridiplantae; Streptophyta; Magnoliopsida; Malpighiales; Salicaceae
Description: long non-coding RNA (PTRE_LNC001903)
Source: RNAcentral
AAGAGACAAUCAGAACACAUUGUGCGCAUGAGCUGUAUUAAAUCCUAGAUUGAUAUGUAUUUGUGUACAUAUAGGAAUCCGAGAUUGAUUCGUAGUUGUAUAUAGAUAGGAACAAAUAACUUUCCUGCUUAUCCUCUGUAUCUUUCCUAUUUCAUCUCUGAAGUGUAACUAUAUAUAUUGCCUCCUGUGGAGAAGAAUAUAACGAAGAGAAGUAAUAUUACAGAAACCUUAUUGUUUACAUGGUAUCAGAGCAGACUCAAUUCUAUCUGCAGUAAACCAAACCGAAUACGAACCUCGAAUCCCUUCUCCUACGAAAAAAUAAUUUGUAUCAAGCUACUGUUCUUAUUCUACAAAACAGAAUCCUCUAUAUUUCUGAGACGUAACUCACAAGUUAUUUGUGCUUUCUUCUUCAUCUAGUAUUUUUUCUUCUUCUAUGGCUGCAGACAUGUCGACUUCAAUUGUUCCAACACCAACACAGCAGAUUAUUGUACAUCAAGAUAACUCUUCCUUCCCAACCGGAGUCAUCCUUGAUGAGACCAACUAUUCAUUAUGGUCUCAACUCAUGGAGAUGCGUAUAGGGGCUCGCAACAAAGCUGGAUAUCUCACGGGAGAAACAAAAAAACCAGAAGUUGGAGAUCCCAAUCUUGGAGCAUGGAUUACUGAAAAUCACAGAGUAAAAAGUUGGCUCAUUGAUGCAAUGAGUCCAGCAUUAAUGCAACGAUUUAUUCGCCUGUCUACAGCCAAAGAAAUAUGGGAGGCCGUAUCAAAAACAUUUUAUGAUGGAUCAGAUGAAACCUGUAUCUUCGAACUGAACCAAAGAUCUUUCUCUACCAAACAGAAUGGUCGCCCCUUAUCAACUUACUAUAAUGAACUUGUUGCUAUAUUUCAAGAAAUUGAUCACAAGACAAAAUCUCAGGAAGGAACAGUUGAGGGGGUACUUCAGUUACACUCUGCAAUGGCUAGACUUAGAGUUCAUAUCUUUCUGAGUGGACUUGAUUCAGAAUUCAAUCAGGUUUGUGGCGAAAUCUUGCGCAAAGAUCCAAAACUUGAUUUGGAGAACACAUACGCAUAUGUCAGGAGGGAAUACCAGCAAAGACAAACCAUGGGAAGCUAUCAUCCAAACUCUGAGAAUUUAGCUAUGCUAACCAACACUCCUCGACAAGGAUCAUCAUAUGAAUCAACCAGUAAACGAAACACUCAAUUAUCCAGAAAGGUUAACAACCUGGUCUGCGCUCAUUGUGGGGAAAAAGGUCAUUCACAACAGCGGUGCUAUGAGAUUAUUGGUAUCCCGAGUGGUGGGAUUUCUCAAAGAAACCUCGGAAAAAGAUCCCUGCAAGAGCUAUGACAACGUCUACAGAAGAAGAUCACCAGCAGCCUACAGCAAAUAUUGCUCAUCCUGGUAAAGUUGGUAAAGUAUCUGUAUUCCCUGCACAUUAUAAGGAUAAAACUUGGAUUGUUGAUACAGGUGCAUCUGAACAUAUGACGAGAGACGUUAGACAAUUACAAUCCAUACUCCCUUCUUCUCAAUCAGUUAUUUCCACAGCCAAUGGUAGUACCUCCCCUGUUACUGGGGAAGGUUCAGUUAUUUUUUCAAAUACACUCACACUCAAUACUGUCCUUGUUGUUCCCUCUCUUGAAUAUAAUCUGUUAUCUGUUAGCCAAAUUACAUUCACCCUUCAUUGUACUGUAACGUUUUGGCCCUCCUUUUGUGUCUUUCAGGACAUUCUAACGCGGAAGAUUCUUGGCUAUGGUGUUAGACGGGGCAAACUCUACUACUUGGAAUUAACAGAUAAUGGAGAAUCAAAAAUUAGUCAGGCAAAUCAUGUUAGUAGCAGAGAUAAGGCUCAGACAGUUAUAUGGCUAUGGCAUCGUAGAUUAGGACAUCUUUCUUUUGGUUAUCUAAAGAAACUACAACCAGUACUCUUUUCUGGUAUUAAUGAAUUGGAUUUUCAUUGUGAUACAUGUGAACUGGCUAAAAGUCACCGUAUCUCUUAUUCUCCAAGUUUGAAUAAAAGUUCAGAACCAUUUGAGGUCAUUCACACGGAUGUUUGGGGUCCUGCAAAGGUUCCUGCAAUUUCUAGCUCUCGUUAUUUUGUGACUUUUAUUGAUGAAUGCACGAGAAUGACUUGGGUAUCCUUACUUAUACACAAGAAUGAUGUGUGUCUAGCUUUCCAGACAUUCCAUAAAAUGAUACAAACUCAGUACCAAAAACAAAUUCGUGUGGUGCAGUCUGAUAAUGGCACCGAGUUUGUAGCUGCAUCUCUUGGGAACUUCCUGUGCAGCCAUGGAAUUCGCCAUCAGACCUCGUGCACCUAUACUCCACAACAGAAUGGAUUAGCUGAGCGGAAAAAUCGACAACUAUUAGAGGUAGUACGUGCUUCUCUUUUUGGUAUGAAUAUGCCAAAAUUUUAUUGGGGUGAGGCUGUGAAAUCUGCUACUUAUAUCAUCAACAGAACACCAUCUCGAGUCCUAGAUUUUCAAACACCCUUACAAAAGUUACAAUCCUUACUCCCAGUUCCCCAUUUCCCCAACCUUGAACCUCGAAUUUUUGGUUGUACCGUGUUUGUUCACAUCCCAAAAAUCUUACGGAACAAACUUGAUCCAUGUGCAAAACGUUGUGUAUUUGUUGGCUACUCUGAUCUUCAGAAAGGAUAUAGAUGUUAUGAUCCCCACACCCGAAAAUUCCAUGUGACAUUGGAUGCUUCCUUUCGUGAGCUCAUUCCUUAUUACUCUGGUGGAGCCUUGAGCCAUUCUCUUCAGGGGGAGAACUUCAGUAACGAGAAUGAGGAUCUGAUGGAUAAAGGAGGUGAGGAGUUUACCCAGUUAGAGGCUCUGAUGGAUAAAGUAAGUGAGGAGUCUAUCCAGUUAGAAGAGAAUGAAAACUUGAAUCCACAAGGCAGUAAUCAUAGCACUGAUGUCGAGAAUGAUUCCACACAUGAAGCUCUAGUUUUUCCUGAUGAAUCUGCACCACCAUUUGAGUUGCCCCUGUCUACACCAUUACCUGCAGAAUCAUCCACGAAUGUUCCCCCUCAGGUAAGUCAUGGGAUUAGAGAGUCUAAUGAAAUAUAUUGUCCUACAGAAAACCCCACUUCUAGAUAUCCACAAAGGAUGAAUAAGGGAAUUCCGAAAAAACAAUAUGAUCCUGAUCUUACAGUCAAAACCAAAUAUCCAAUUAAUAACUAUGUGUCCUCUCAUAGGUUGACUCGUUCAUAUGCACUUACUGUUAAUCAACUUUCCACAGUUUCUAUUCCUAGUAAUGUGCAGGAUGCAUUGGCUAAUCAAAGAUGGAGAAAGGCAAUGAAUGAAGAGAUGGAGGCUCUACAGAAAAAUGCUACGUGGGAACUAGUUCCGCUGCCCAAAGGAAUGAAGACAGUUGGAUGCAGAUGGGUGUUCACUGUGAAACUCAACCCAGAUGGUAGUAUUGACAGGUAUAAAGCUCGACUAGUCGCAAAGGGAUAUACACAAAGGUAUGGGGUAGACUAUCAGGAUACUUUUGCACCAGUAGCCAAGAUCAAUACUAUUCGUAUUCUUAUAUCUAUAGCCGCAAAUCGAGACUGGCCUCUGCAACAGUUUGAUGUUAAGAAUGCAUUUCUCAAUGGUGAUCUAGAAGAAGAAGUCUACAUGGAACUACCACCUGGAGUUAACAGCAACUUAGGCAAAGGUGAAGUCUGCAAACUAAAGAAGUCACUGUAUGGACUAAAACAGUCACCUAGAGCAUGGUUUGGGAGAUUCUCUGCUACAAUGAAGGAGUUUGGCUAUAAACAAAGUAACUCUGACCAUACUUUGUUUAUAAAACAUAACGAAGGAAGAGUAACCGUUUUAAUUGUAUAUGUGGAUGAUAUGGUCAUGACAGGAGAUGAUCCACGUGAAAUGAAAGCAUUACAGAGAUAUCUAGCUACUAAAUUUGAAAUGAAGGAUCUCGGACACCUUAAAUAUUUUUUAGGAAUUGAGGUGGCAAGGUCAAGGCAGGGAAUAUCUCUUUCACAACAAAAAUAUGUGAUAGACCUGCUAACUGAAACUGGAAUGCUUAGUUGCAAACCAGUAGAAACGCCCAUGGAGAUGAACCAUAAGCUGGGAAUUUUUCCAGAUCAGGAUCCAACAGACAAGGAUCGUUACCAGCGAUUAGUUGGAAGGCUAAUCUACUUAUCCCAUACCAGACCUGAUAUAGCAUAUGCAGUAAGUGUGGUGAGUCAGUUCAUGCAUGCACCAAGUAAAGAACAUAUGGAAGCAGUAUAUCGAAUCUUACGGUACUUAAAAGGUUCUCCAGGAAGAGGAUUGUUGUUCACAAAAAACAAUAUUCCUAACAUUGAAGGAUAUACAGACUCUGAUUGGGCAGGAGAUCAGACGACCAGAAAAUCUACUUCUGGUUAUUUUACGUUUGUAGAAGGUAAUCUUGUCACUUGGAAAAGCAAGAAACAAAAAGUAGUAGCAAGAUCAAGUGCUGAAGCUGAAUUUCGAGGGAUGGCUCAUGGUGUAUGUGAAUUGAUAUGGAUAAGGAAUAUAUUAAGGGAUCUAGGGAUUGAAUAUACUGAACCUAUGAAUCUCUUUUGUGAUAAUAAAGCAGCUAUAGCAAUCGCACAGAACCCAGUUCAACAUGAUCGCACCAAACACGUUGAGGUUGAUCGUCAUUUCAUCAAGGAGAAUCUCGAUGGAAGAAUCAUACAGUUUCCAUUUAUACAAUCUAAGAGUCAACUGGCUGAUGUACUCACAAAGGCAGUUUCAGGAAAGGCGUUUCAUGAUAUAAUUAACAAGUUGGGCAUGAUAAACAUCUAUGCACCAACUUGAGGGGGAGUGUGCGCAUGAGCUGUAUUAAAUCCUAGAUUGAUAUGUAUUUGUGUACAUAUAGGAAUCCGAGAUUGAUUCGUAGUUGUAUAUAGAUAGGAACAAAUAACUUUCCUGCUUAUCCUCUGUAUCUUUCCUAUUUCAUCUCUGAAGUGUAACUAUAUAUAUUGCCUCCUGUGGAGAAGAAUAUAACGAAGAGAAGUAAUAUUACAGAAACCUUAUUGUUUACACACAUUAUACAGUCUUCAUUGCUUGGAAUUUCUACUGAAACAACUUUGUUAUUUAGAAGAACGAAAACAAAGAAGAGAACAAGGAUUAUGGGUACAAUUAAUGCAACAUGCGGAUUAAUUCAUAUGAAAGAAUUGAAACUGCAGAAGCUAAACUACUUGAAGUAUAGAGCAGACGGCUUGUAUGACAGUCAGAAUGAGAAGA